RNAcentral lists this ribosomal RNA (568 nucleotides) under Leptographium davidsonii. RNAcentral's name for it is "LSU rRNA". It matches the Rfam family "Eukaryotic large subunit ribosomal RNA", at positions 62 to 648 of the family's 3401-position model. Lineage: Eukaryota; Fungi; Ascomycota; Sordariomycetes; Ophiostomatales; Ophiostomataceae. The record is from RNAcentral.
AAACCAACAGGGAUUGCCUCAGUAACGGCGAGUGAAGCGGCAACAGCUCAGAUUUGGAAUCUGGUCCUUUGGGGCCCGAGUUGUAAUCUGGAGAGGAUGCUUCUGGCGCGGCGCCGUCCGAGUUCCCUGGAACGGGACGCCGGAGAGGGUGAGAGCCCCGUACGGUCGGACGCCUAGCCUGUGUGAAGCUCCUUCGACGAGUCGAGUAGUUUGGGAAUGCUGCUCAAAAUGGGAGGUAAAUUUCUUCUAAAGCUAAAUACCGGCCAGAGACCGAUAGCGCACAAGUAGAGUGAUCGAAAGAUGAAAAGCACUUUGAAAAGAGGGUCAAACAGUACGUGAAAUUGUUGAAAGGGAAGCGCCUGUGGCCAGACUUGUGCCCGGCAGACCAUCCGGCGCCCCCGCGCCGGUGCACUCUGCCGGGCGCAGGCCAGCAUCGGUUUUCCCAGGGGGAUAAAGGCGGCGGGAACGUGGCUCCCUCGGGAGCGUUAUAGCCCGCCGUGUCAUGCCUCUGGGGGGACCGAGGACCGCGCAUUUAUGCAAGGAUGCUGGCGUAAUGGCCACCGGCGAC